Molecule: ribosomal RNA, 1399 nt
Filed under: Moraxella sp.
Lineage: Bacteria; Pseudomonadati; Pseudomonadota; Gammaproteobacteria; Moraxellales; Moraxellaceae
Description: bacterial SSU rRNA
Rfam family: Bacterial small subunit ribosomal RNA
Source: RNAcentral
AUGCAGUCGAACGAUGAUUAUCUAGCUUGCUAGAUAUGAUUAGUGGCGGACGGGUGAGUAACAUUUAGGAAUCUGCCUAGUAGUGGGGGAUAGCUCGGGGAAACUCGAAUUAAUACCGCAUACGACCUACGGGUGAAAGGGGGCGCAAGCUCUUGCUAUUAGAUGAGCCUAAAUCAGAUUAGCUAGUUGGUGGGGUAAAGGCCCACCAAGGCGACGAUCUGUAACUGGUCUGAGAGGAUGAUCAGUCACACCGGAACUGAGACACGGUCCGGACUCCUACGGGAGGCAGCAGUGGGGAAUAUUGGACAAUGGGGGCAACCCUGAUCCAGCCAUGCCGCGUGUGUGAAGAAGGCCUUUUGGUUGUAAAGCACUUUAAGCAGGGAGGAGAGGCUAAUGGUUAAUACCCAUUAGAUUAGACGUUACCUGCAGAAUAAGCACCGGCUAACUCUGUGCCAGCAGCCGCGGUAAUACAGAGGGUGCGAGCGUUAAUCGGAAUUACUGGGCGUAAAGCGAGUGUAGGUGGCUCAUUAAGUCACAUGUGAAAUCCCCGGGCUUAACCUGGGAACUGCAUGUGAUACUGGUGGUGCUAGAAUAUGUGAGAGGGAAGUAGAAUUCCAGGUGUAGCGGUGAAAUGCGUAGAGAUCUGGAGGAAUACCGAUGGCGAAGGCAGCUUCCUGGCAUAAUAUUGACACUGAGAUUCGAAAGCGUGGGUAGCAAACAGGAUUAGAUACCCUGGUAGUCCACGCCGUAAACGAUGUCUACUAGCCGUUGGGGUCCUUGAGACUUUAGUGGCGCAGUUAACGCGAUAAGUAGACCGCCUGGGGAGUACGGCCGCAAGGUUAAAACUCAAAUGAAUUGACGGGGGCCCGCACAAGCGGUGGAGCAUGUGGUUUAAUUCGAUGCAACGCGAAGAACCUUACCUGGUCUUGACAUAGUGAGAAUCCUGCAGAGAUGCGGGAGUGCCUUCGGGAAUUCACAUACAGGUGCUGCAUGGCUGUCGUCAGCUCGUGUCGUGAGAUGUUGGGUUAAGUCCCGCAACGAGCGCAACCCUUUUCCUUAUUUGCCAGCGGGUUAAGCCGGGAACUUUAAGGAUACUGCCAGUGACAAACUGGAGGAAGGCGGGGACGACGUCAAGUCAUCAUGGCCCUUACGACCAGGGCUACACACGUGCUACAAUGGUAGGUACAGAGGGUUGCUACACAGCGAUGUGAUGCUAAUCUCAAAAAGCCUAUCGUAGUCCGGAUUGGAGUCUGCAACUCGACUCCAUGAAGUCGGAAUCGCUAGUAAUCGCAGAUCAGAAUGCUGCGGUGAAUACGUUCCCGGGCCUUGUACACACCGCCCGUCACACCAUGGGAGUCUAUUGCACCAGAAGUAGGUAGCCUAACGCAAGAGGGCGCUU